Long non-coding RNA from Oncorhynchus tshawytscha (Chinook salmon), 1322 nucleotides. RefSeq lists it as uncharacterized. The record is from RefSeq and is a predicted model, not a curated record. Lineage: Eukaryota; Metazoa; Chordata; Actinopteri; Salmoniformes; Salmonidae. The transcript is spliced from 4 exons.
GUUUGCAGUCAAAUUUCUUUACGCGGAAGAGAGCAUGAUGCUCGUGAUUUUGCACAUCCCAUGUAAUGUAACUGGUAACAAUGACUAGCACGCGGUAAAUUGUUGCGUGAGUGGGUCGCUUGAGCGUGCUGGCAGCAUAUGGCAGCAGUUCGAUUGUGCGUCAAGAAUUCAGCAUAGCACGUUUUUGUGAAUGUCUGGUUAUUAAAUGGGUAAAUAGUUUAAUCCAUUUCAUGAAUUUAUUCACAGGUAACGCUCUCGUGACAAACACACUUUGUUGCCUUGUUUCCAAUCGUCCACAUGUCUGGGAGAACCUAUUAAUAUACAGAGAGCUGUGAAAGCCUGUCUGCAGAUGAAGAGGUCCCAAUGAAGAGCAGUGGUUCUCAGUCCUGGUCCUGGGGACUGGACCGGUUUUUGCCUUAGCUCUGAUUCAAAUGAUCAAGUCAUCAUCAAGCUUCAAGUGAUAAAUUGUAACUGGAGAUUCCUUCAAAAUGAUGAUGCCUACAGUUCCCGUGUAGGGCACUGCAAGGUUGGGUGACCAGAGCCAUCUGGGACUGCCUCCUGGAGGAAUUCAGGCGUUUGAAGGCUACCUGUGUCGUGCAUAACUUCAUGAGGAUGGACACGAGGACCAGGAGGGGGAUCUGCAGCUCGCCACCGUGUGCCAGAGGAGAGGUCUGCUGCUCUACAGUAUGUUUUGAUGUGAGAGAGGAUGCCACUCCCAGUCCCGUCAUCACCCGCUCUUAAGAUAACCUUAAGGACAACUGGGGACCCAAAGCUGGUUAGGAGACACCACUAGAGACACUUAUGUACUUGUGAUGAACUGAGACAAUACUAGGGUAGCACUGUAAUUCAUUAAACAUAUGCUGUCUUCCCUGCUCCUCUAUUCUUACUUCUUUUCCCUUGUGUAUUUUACACUCUUUCUCACACCUCUCUACCCACCUCUUUCUUCCUCUGUUUUUAUCAUGAACACCAGAUGUGCAUUGAAGUACAGAUUGAACUUGUAUUUAUAAUAUGAUAUUACAAUGAUAAUAUUUAUAAUGGAUAUAUUAUGUUUUUAUAACACUUGGAUAAUGAACUUCUUUCAAUGAAGUGUUUGACAUUCUCUACUGGUUGAAAUGAAGUCUCAGUUGAGGAAAUACUACACCUAUCCUGUGUCCUCAGAUCAAUGCAGAUAAAGGGAGUUAGACAUUGAGAUGAACCGGUAUUAGUGCAUUUACAAUUGAAGUCGGAAGUUUACAUACACCUUAGCCAAAUACAUUUAAACUCAGUUUUUCACAAUUCCUGACAUUUAAUCCUGGAAAAAAAUUCUGUCUUAGGUCAGUUAG